Austrofundulus limnaeus is the source of this 158-nucleotide long non-coding RNA. RefSeq lists it as uncharacterized. NCBI's taxonomy places the organism in Eukaryota, Metazoa, Chordata, Actinopteri, Cyprinodontiformes, Rivulidae. The transcript has 3 exons. The record is from RefSeq and is a predicted model, not a curated record.
GCUGGAUAACAGCAGACUCAUGGAUAUUGCUGGCAGAGAUGCACACCUGAAAGAAAAAUUCAUUCAGCAUUUCGGAGCAGGAAAUGUCAAGUUCUCAUCGGAGUGCAAAAUACGCUUUCAUAGACUAUAUCACACCACGAGGGACUGCUCAAGACCAG